Molecule: long non-coding RNA, 1357 nt
Filed under: Equus caballus (horse)
Lineage: Eukaryota; Metazoa; Chordata; Mammalia; Perissodactyla; Equidae
Description: lncRNA (ENSECAG00000054162.1)
Source: RNAcentral
UGUGACCAGGUGUAUUAGUUUUCUGUGGCUGCUGUAGCAAAUCAGCACAAACGUAGCAGUUUAGAACAAUGCAUACUUAUCUCAGGGUUCUGUAGGCCGGAGGUCUGGGUUAGCCUGGCUGGUUUCUCUGCUCUGGGUUCCACAAAGCCAAAAUCAGGGUGCCAGCUGGGCUCUUAGUGGAAGGCUCUGGGAAGAACUGAGUUCCACUGUCAUUCAGGUUGUUGGCUGUAGCAGAGACCUGUUUCCUUGUGGCUGUCAGCUGCAGGCUGCCCUCUCGCUGCUCCUUGCUGUGGGUCCCUGCACCUUGGGGUCAGCAAAGCUGACUGUGUCGGAGGGAAUUUGGCCAACUUCCCUGGAAGGAUGGGUUGCUCUCUUUUGCCUCCAGCUGCAGAAAGUUCUCCACUUUUAAAGGCUCAUGUGAUUAGUUUGCCCAUCUGAAUAAUCUGGGAUAAUCUCGCUAUUUUAAUGUCUGCAACCUUAAUUACAUUUAUGAAGUCCAGUUUGCCGUGUAAUUUAACACAUUACAAAUUCCAGGGGUCGGGGCGGACAUUUUUGGGGAGCCAUUCUGUCAACUGCAACCAGUGAUUAUGGAAUUCUAGCUAGUGAGUGGAACUGGAGGUGCCACGUAGGACCCCGGGAGGCUCGCUUGAAGAGGAGAGGCCUUUGUUCCCUCUGUCCUCAUCCUGCCGAGACUGCUGGACCAGCCUCCUUGAAACAGGAGGCAAGGACCACGCCCUCGGGAUGGUGGACGGGGAGCUGGAAGGAGUUGGACUCCUUUGGAAGCAUAUAGUUGUAUAUUCUUUUAGUUGUGGGUCCUUCUAGUUGUGGCAUGUGGGACAUGCCUCAACAUGGCCUGACGAGCUGUGCCAUGUCCGUGCCCAGGAUCUGAACCAGUGAAACCCUGGACCGCCGAAUCGGAGCGCACAAACUUAACCACUCGGCCACGGGGCCGGCCCCAGAAAUAAACUUCUUAUUAAAUCUUGGUAUUCUAAAAUUUUCUGUUACAUAUAGUUGAACCUACUACUGAAAAAUAUGCCCUUCAAACUUUGUAGAAUUUUCUUAGCUCCUUAGAAUGUCUGUAGCAUGGAUUGACAAAAUUAAAUAUACUUGGGUUCCCAAUCAUUCUAUCUAGUAUGAACAAUAACUAUUAUCUGAGGUUAUAAAAUGACAUACUCACAUAUAGUAAUAAAAGUAUUUAUUGUUUGUGAAAUAAAUUCAUUUUUCUUAGUAAUGUCUGAUUCUUCUUCUUAUCCCUGUGUUCAAAAAUGUCAUUCUGUAUAUUUCAGUUUAAUAAUUUUCCCUUUAGAGUGAAAAACAGAAAAGUUUGUAGAUCUGAAGCUGAAAUACGUAGGAAAUG